Molecule: ribosomal RNA, 464 nt
Filed under: Vreelandella stevensii
Lineage: Bacteria; Pseudomonadati; Pseudomonadota; Gammaproteobacteria; Oceanospirillales; Halomonadaceae
Description: partial 16S ribosomal RNA
Rfam family: Bacterial small subunit ribosomal RNA
Source: RNAcentral
CCUACGGGAGGCUGCAGUGGGGAAUAUUGGACAAUGGGGGGAACCCUGAUCCAGCCAUGCCGCGUGUGUGAAGAAGGCCCUCGGGUUGUAAAGCACUUUCAGUGAGGAAGAACGCCUGGUGGUUAAUACCCAUCAGGAAAGACAUCACUCACAGAAGAAGCACCGGCUAACUCCGUGCCAGCAGCCGCGGUAAUACGGAGGGUGCGAGCGUUAAUCGGAAUUACUGGGCGUAAAGCGCGCGUAGGUGGCUUGAUAAGCCGGUUGUGAAAGCCCGGGCUCAACCUGGGAACGGCAUCCGGAACUGUCAAGCUAGAGUGCAGGAGAGGAAGGUAGAAUUCCCGGUGUAGCGGUGAAAUGCGUAGAGAUCGGGAGGAAUACCAGUGGCGAAGGCGGCCUUCUGGACUGACACUGACACUGAGGUGCGAAAGCGUGGGUAGCAAACAGGAUUAGAUACCCUUGUAGUC